RNAcentral lists this transfer RNA (73 nucleotides) under Marmota monax (woodchuck). Its description in RNAcentral is "tRNA.Ala". The stretch from base 9 to 65 matches the Rfam family "tRNA", at positions 8 to 63 of the family's 71-position model. Rfam says of the family: Transfer RNA (tRNA) molecules are approximately 80 nucleotides in length. Their secondary structure includes four short double-helical elements and three loops (D, anti-codon, and T loops). The record is from RNAcentral. Lineage: Eukaryota; Metazoa; Chordata; Mammalia; Rodentia; Sciuridae.
UGGGGUUUUGGCUCAGCGGUAGAGCGCUCACCUAGCAUGUGUGAGGCCCUGGGUUCAAAUCUCGGCAUCACAU